AGCAUGAUUAAGAACAGAACUAGAGACAUCUACAUUUUCAUCAUUCUCUUUGGCAUUGUUCCCCUCAGGAAAAUUCACUAAAGGACCAGCUUCAAGAACCUCGACAUGGGUAUCAUUCAUAUCAAACUCUUUACAAGACGCACUUUCCGCCAGUUGAGAAUCCACCACAGGAUUUUGGUCAAGACCUGGUGAAUUACUGUUCAUAUCAAUGGAAGCAUGAUUAAGAGCUGAACCAGAGACAUCUACAUUUUUAUUAUUCUCUUUGGUAUUGUUCCCCUCAGAUGAAUUCACUGAAGGACUGGCUUCAACAACCUCAUCACGGACAUCAUUCAUAUCAAACUCUUUAAAAGGCAAAGCAUUAUCCGUCACUUGAGAAUCAAGCACAGGAUUUCGGUCAUGCCCUGGUGAAUUAUUAUUCAUAUCACUUUCAGUGUGAUCAAGAACUGAACCAGAGACAUCUACAUUUUCAUCAUUCUCUUUGGCAUUGUUCGCCUCGGACAAAUUCGCUAAAGGACCAGAUUCAAGAACCUCGACAUGGGUAUCAUUCAUAUCAAAUUCUUUACAAGACAAAGCAUUAUCCACCACUCGAGAAUCCGACACAGGAUUUUGGUCAAGUCCUGGGGAAUCACAAUUCAUAUCAGUGAUAUCUUGAUUAAGAGCUGAACCAGAGACAUCUACAUUUUCAUUAUUCUCUUUGGUAUUGUUCGCCUGAGAUGAAUUCCCUAAAGGACCAGCUUCAAGAACCAAACCAAGGGAAUCAUUCAUAUCAAACUUUUUUAAAGACAAAUCAUUAUCCACCACUUGAGAGUCCGACACAGGAUUUUGGUCAAGCCCUGGUGAAUCACAAUUCAUAUCAGUGAUAGCAUGAUUAAGAACAGAACCAGAUACAUCUACAUUUUCAUCAUUCUCUUUGGCAUUGUUCCCUUUGAACGAAUUCACUAAAGGACCAGCUUCAACAACCUCAACAUGGGCAUCAUUCAUAUCAAACUUUUUUAAAGACAUAUCAUUAUCCGCCACUCGGGAAUCCGACACAGGAUUUUGGUCUAGCCCUGGUGAAUCACAAUUCAUAUCAGUGAUAGCAUGAUUCAGAACAGAACCAGAGACAUCUACAUUUUCAUUAUUCUCUUCGGUAUUGUUCGCCUGAGAUGAAUUCACUAAAGGACCAGCUUCGAGAACCUCAACAUGGGCAUCAUUCAUAUCAAACUCUUUAAAAGACAAAGCAUUAUCCACUACUUGAGAAUCCGACACAGG
RNAcentral lists this long non-coding RNA (1251 nucleotides) under Medicago truncatula (barrel medic). RNAcentral's name for it is "long non-coding RNA (MTRU_LNC007791)". The record is from RNAcentral. Lineage: Eukaryota; Viridiplantae; Streptophyta; Magnoliopsida; Fabales; Fabaceae.